AUUGAACGCUGGCGGCAUGCCUUACGCAUGCAAGUCGAACGGUAACGCGGGGGCAACCCUGGCGACGAGUGGCGAACGGGUGAGUAAUACAUCGGAACGUGUCCUGUUGUGGGGAUAACCCAUCGAAAGGUGAGCUAAUACCGCAUGAUCUGGAGACAGCAAAGCAGGGGACCGGAAACGGCCUUGCGCGAUUGGAGCGGCCGAUGUCCGAUUAGCUAGUUGGUGGGGUAAAGGCCCACCAAGGCAACGAUCGGUAGCUGGUCUGAGAGGAUGAUCAGCCACACUGGGACUGAGACACGGCCCAGACUCCUACGGGAGGCAGCAGUGGGGAAUUUUGGACAAUGGGGGCAACCCUGAUACCAGCCAUGCCGCGUGAGUGAAGGAA
RNAcentral lists this ribosomal RNA (385 nucleotides) under uncultured bacterium. Its description in RNAcentral is "bacterial SSU rRNA". It matches the Rfam family "Bacterial small subunit ribosomal RNA", at positions 29 to 413 of the family's 1533-position model. The record is from RNAcentral.